Molecule: transfer RNA, 73 nt
Filed under: Chloroflexota bacterium
Lineage: Bacteria; Bacillati; Chloroflexota
Also listed under: 2 other names
Description: Chloroflexi bacterium tRNA-Arg
Rfam family: tRNA
About the family: Transfer RNA (tRNA) molecules are approximately 80 nucleotides in length.
Source: RNAcentral
GCGCCCAUAGCUCAGUGGAUAGAGCAACGGUCUUCUAAACCGUUGGCCGCAGGUUCGAGUCCUGCUGGGCGCG